This 1242-nucleotide long non-coding RNA is filed under the name Canis lupus familiaris (dog). RNAcentral describes it as "lncRNA (ENSCAFG00845020655.1)". Lineage: Eukaryota; Metazoa; Chordata; Mammalia; Carnivora; Canidae. The record is from RNAcentral.
AUGGGACAGGACGGCAUGGGGUGCGGGCCACGCAUGUGCCCCGGAACCCACAUCUGUUGGAGGAAGAGCCGGGCUCAGGCCGCCUGCCCCAGACCUCAGCUAGGAGGGGCCUCGCGGGUGGGGGGCCAGGGACACACGGGACAGGACAACCGCUCUGGCCCUGGUCGGGGGUCCCGCCGCGCCUGUUGGUGCUGGUCAGGUCCAGCCGGCGUCACUGAGCAGCCGGCGCUGCUGGACAAGCCACCAAGGGGGUCCCGGUGCUCAACAGCAGGCCGGACGUCUUGGGGUCCGAGCGGGGCAGCCCGGGCUUCCCCUCUGGUCCUGUCUCGCCGGGUCACUGUGGCCGUCCCCGCCCUGGACCAGCAGACCUCGUCCCGGAAGCCAGGAGCCCAACUUGCCGCCAUCCUGUGCGAGGAAGACGCGGCAGCAGCUGGAGGGGGCCGCAGGAGGAAAGACAGGUCCACCUGCCCGCCCGGGCCCGGCAGUGGGGUCUCACUCAGAACAGAGCCUUGGCCUACGUGCCGAGGACCUGGAGGUGCGGGGACGCGGACUCGGCGGCCGAUAGUGGGGGGCAAAGUCCCGCAGGAGGAGCGGCCACAUGCAGGAGGCAGGCGCGGAGCCACGAGGCCGCCAGCCCCGGAGCCAGGCUCAGCCCCAGGUCGCGGUGACGCCGGGCUUCCGCGCCCCAGGACCGAGGGGGACGAGGAGUCUGUGCUGAGCCACAGUGAGGAUUCACUACCGCGGGCCCGCAGCCGGCCGGGCGCUGUGCGACGGGAGCCGCGGCAGACCCCGUGGGGGACCCGGGCGCCAGGCCCCAGGCGGACGCGCUGCUGCGGGCGAGGGCCCCCAGGCCCUGCCCUGAGCCCGUCCAGUUGCCCCGGGGGUCGACUCUGGGAGGGCCGCCCGCCAGGGGGAGCUGGGCCAGGCGGUGGGCCCGCAGGCCUCGCCCUGCUCCCACGGCCCCCGCCCCCAGGCUGGGGGGCCGCCCACCUCCCUCCCCCAGGGCAGCCCGACUGCUCUCAGCAGGGAAGGGACGCCGUGGGUGGCAGCAGCCCCGACAGCCCGGGAGUCGCCUCGGACGCCCCCAGGGCUCCUUACGCGCAAGGAGCCCCGGGGAGACGGGCAGGGGGCGGCCGUCAUACAGGCCCCGUCCCUGUCCCCACCUGCACCCAGAGCCCUGGGACGCUUACUGACCCUCGGCCCCAACCCGGCGGCCCCACACCUGACACUCCACCCAACUGA